UUAAUUUAGUCCCUGGCUCGCUGAUCUACUGGAGAAGGGACACGUGUCCAGAGGAUUGGGUUAUUUCCCCAUUUGGUCCCUCCUUGUUAUUCGUGCGUUACAACUUGGUCCUUUACUUUAUUUUCAUUCCCGAUUUUUGCCCAAAAUUCUGUUUAAACUUCAAUUUAGUCCUUUAGGCAUUUAUUUCAUUAUAAUUUAGGCCCAAAACCUCCU
RNAcentral lists this long non-coding RNA (213 nucleotides) under Gossypium raimondii (Peruvian cotton). Its description in RNAcentral is "long non-coding RNA (GRAI_LNC009823)". The record is from RNAcentral. Lineage: Eukaryota; Viridiplantae; Streptophyta; Magnoliopsida; Malvales; Malvaceae.